RNAcentral lists this ribosomal RNA (203 nucleotides) under uncultured bacterium. Its description in RNAcentral is "partial 16S ribosomal RNA". It matches the Rfam family "Bacterial small subunit ribosomal RNA", at positions 1300 to 1500 of the family's 1533-position model. The record is from RNAcentral.
GUAGUCUGCAACUCGACUACAUGAAGCUGGAAUCGCUAGUAAUCGCGAAUCAGAAUGUCGCGGUGAAUACGUUCCCGGGUCUUGUACACACCGCCCGUCACACCAUGGGAGUCAGUAACGCCCGAAGCCGGUGACCCAACCGAUAAGGAGGGAGCCGUCGAAGGUGGGGACCGAUAACUGGGGUGAAGUCGUAACAAGGUAAC